GAUAGGGUGCCUGAUUAAAGGGUUACGUUGAUACUGUAAAUAUGCAUAGAUGCUCCUGUCU
RNAcentral lists this transfer RNA (61 nucleotides) under Eubranchipus grubii. RNAcentral's name for it is "tRNA-Ile". The record is from RNAcentral. Lineage: Eukaryota; Metazoa; Arthropoda; Branchiopoda; Anostraca; Chirocephalidae.